CGGUCCGACACUGCACGCCUCCGCCCGCCAACGGCGACGCGAGCACAAAGGUUCCGGCCUCCGCCUGCUGACGGCGACGCAAGCAAAGAGGUUCCGCGCUCUGCCUGCCCGAACCCCUAGACGCGCACACCCGCGCCCCUCUCUCCUCCAAGCAGCUUCUUUCUGCCUAUGGAGAAAGUGAGAAAGAAAUGACACAUCCCUGCCAAUGAUUCUGUAUUGCAUCCAUGGCCCUUUAUGUCAUGGAGACACUAGUGAGUUUUUGCCUACGCGAAGGGUUGGAAGGUGGUGCCACUUCUUCCCAGCACUCACUUCGUCCACCCCAGGAGUUUCAUAAAUCACCUCGUAAAAGCUCAUUUACUGGUUUCCCCAACAUAAUGGCAGAAAUAAACUGCUCGGGACGCACUUGGCCACUCGCUCCAGGAAACGGGUCCAGCCAUCGCUGGCUCUGGCGACGGAGGAAGGGCCUGGCAUCUUGGUUUCCAGCCUGGACUCCUAUCCCCUUUGCUUGCUGACAGUAUCUCCCAGAAUUAGGGCUACCGAGUCCGCGACUUUUUAUUGAGUUGGAUGGCAAAUCACAGAAUAAAUGCUUUCCUUUGCACUUUAAAAGGAUUUAAUAGGAAAAUAUUUUUCCUACAUCCUGUUUCAAGGGGAAAAUGUGAUUUUAGGGGACAUUUUAUAGUUCACAACAGGAUAUUGAAGGGCAUUUGGUUUUGCUUAGUUUAUUAUGACUGUGUGUCUCCAGCAUGAAGUGGUGUUUUUGUGUGAUUAUUUAGAUAAGUCUGAUUGAGGUGGGUGGAUCGCCAUAGAAUUAUGGAAAUUUCGGAUUGGAAAGGGCCUCAAAUAUCAUCCAUCCAACACCCUUGUAUUUCGGAUGAGGAAGCAAGUGGCUGGCCCAGGAUCACACCUUGAGCUCAUGGGGGGAAAUGAGAACAGAUUCUUCAUCUCCCACCUGUUCAAUACUCUCAAGCCAGGUUUUUUUUUGGGGGGGGGGUGGAGUAGGGGGAGUGACAUGCAUACAAAGGGGUCCGUAUGUAUCUGUAAGUACUUUUGAAUUUGAGAAUUGGGGUAAUUAAGUGUGGACUUGAGUAUGUGUCAUCCAUUCACCCACCCAUCCUUCCUCCCAUCCAUCCACUCAUCCAUUGUCAAUCAUUCACUCACCUAUCCAUCCAUUGUCAGUCAUUCACUCAUAUUACAAACACGCUUUGUCAGUAAGUGGCCCUGUGUUAAGUACUGAAAAUAUAAAAACAGACCUAAAGUCUCCACCUGGGAACGGGUCAAAGACUAACGGGGCAGACAGAUGUAUUCAGAGACCAUCAUAAUGGACCAUAACAGGUGCACAAGCAGAGUUUGUCGUUGUUAGACGUCCCUGGAGAAUUAAAUUAAAAAACCACUUUAUGAAUCACCCACCUACUCUCCAUAGAUAGGAAAAGACCAUGAAUUAGAAAGGGGUCUUGACCCCAGAAAUAAGGGGAUUCUUGUGGUCCUUUCCAGCCCUUUCAGCCACCCCAGCCUUGACGGGAAUCUGGGGCGGAACCAGGGCCUAGCCCGGCGUGGGGGCCAGGGGGGCUCCAAGUCGGACAGCCCUGCGUUGGAAUCCCAGUCACUUAUUAGGAGUGAGACCUUUGGAAGGUAUUUCUUCAUCCAUGAACUAAAGAUAAAAACAUCCACCCAGCAGGGUUGUCGUGGGCGUUCAUGAGAGGACCUGCAGAGCGUGGAGCAGCUCUGGCGCUGAGCCGGUCCUACAAAUGGAACCACGGCCCCGAGGGUGUUGAGGACGGGAACAGGUUACACGUCACAGCUGGAGGCGGUGGCAGUCUUCCUCACACACGGGAAGGAGCCUCGUUUUACUUCCGGUCCCCACGUCACCCAGGAACGUGGGGCUCACGAGGGAGGCGGAGACAGGGCCUGGGUGAGUGUCAGGAUGACAGGAAGCACUCAGUAAUCGGCUGCCGUGGUUUGGGCCAGUCUCCGAGGGUUUCUGCGAGGAGGAGCAUUCAUUCUGGAGACAAGGCCCGGGUGGAUGAAAUAGGGCCCUCCCGUGGACCAGGGGGUGGGGAGCAGUGUCCCCUGUUCUGCUCUGGACUCGCUGAGAGGAACCGGCUUACCCUGGCGCCUGGGGGAUCCAGGCUCCACGGUAGAAGAAAGUCCUGGAGGCUGUGGCGUUGGACUUUGGGAUGAGCCACCAGGAUGUCCAGUAGCGGACAGGGUCUCUUCCGGCCCCGCAUCUUUACGUGUAGGAGCGCUCGCUGGCUGCGGGCAGGGACGGCACCGCUCGCAAGCUCUUUCCUAACCGGGGCGCCCGUGAUCCUGGCAGAACCCUCCAACUCAGGGCCAGGAGGCUCCGCCAGAGGAAACCGCCGCCCCAGACAGCAGCUGGCAGUUCCCUCUGGCCGUGCCCAGGUUGGGCAUUCCGCAGAUGCCACCAGGGCUGCGGAGCUCCUCCAGCGACCACGCGCGCCUCCCCUCCUUGAAAUUUAUUAAGAAAUUCUCUGCGGGGCCUCUUUCACCAAAAGUGCACUUAAUAAAGCUUGGAAUUUCCUCGC
This is a long non-coding RNA of Myotis daubentonii (Daubenton's bat), 2543 nucleotides long. RefSeq lists it as uncharacterized. The transcript is spliced from 2 exons. NCBI's taxonomy places the organism in Eukaryota, Metazoa, Chordata, Mammalia, Chiroptera, Vespertilionidae. The record is from RefSeq and is a predicted model, not a curated record.